GACUCAGUGGUCCAAUGGUAAAGCGUUCGCCACGGAACCAGAGGGUCCUGGGUUCUAUCCCCAAUGGGGUCA
Molecule: transfer RNA, 72 nt
Filed under: Schistosoma japonicum
Lineage: Eukaryota; Metazoa; Platyhelminthes; Trematoda; Strigeidida; Schistosomatidae
Description: tRNA-Pro
Source: RNAcentral